UGGGGAAUAUUGCACAAUGGGCGCAAGCCUGAUGCAGCCAUGCCGCGUGUAUGAAGAAGGCCUUCGGGUUGUAAAGUACUUUCAGUCGGGAGGAAGGUGGUAAGGUUAAUAACCUUAUCAAUUGACGUUACCGACAGAAGAAGCACCGGCUAACUCCGUGCCAGCAGCCGCGGUAAUACGGAGGGUGCAAGCGUUAAUCGGAAUUACUGGGCGUAAAGCGCACGCAGGCGGUUGAUUGAGUCAGAUGUGAAAUCCCCGGGCUUAACCCGGAAAUUGCAUCUGAUACUGGUCAGCUAGAGUCUUGUAGAGGGGGGUAGAAUUCCAUGUGUAGCGGUGAAAUGCGUAGAGAUGUGGAGGAAUACCGGUGGCGAAGGCGGCCCCUGGACAAAGACUGACGCUCAGGUGCGAAAGCGUGGGGAGCAAACAGG
RNAcentral lists this ribosomal RNA (428 nucleotides) under Chloroflexota bacterium. RNAcentral describes it as "Chloroflexi bacterium partial 16S ribosomal RNA". It matches the Rfam family "Bacterial small subunit ribosomal RNA", at positions 355 to 776 of the family's 1533-position model. The record is from RNAcentral. Lineage: Bacteria; Bacillati; Chloroflexota.